GUGUUGUGUGAAAGGAGAAAAUGUUAGCAUUCUCCUUGGUAAAAAUGGAAGAGGUCCUAGUAGCCUUUAUAACACAUAAGGUGUGGCAACUAACCAUGGUUUUUA
RNAcentral lists this non-coding RNA (105 nucleotides) under Phascolarctos cinereus (koala). Lineage: Eukaryota; Metazoa; Chordata; Mammalia; Diprotodontia; Phascolarctidae. The record is from RNAcentral.